AGUAGUCACGAGUUUGAUCCUGGCUCAGAUUGAACGCUGGCGGCAUGCCUAACACAUGCAAGUCGAACGAGAUCUUCGGAUCUAGUGGCGCACGGGUGCGUAACGCGUGGGAAUCUGCCCUUUGCUUCGGAAUAACAGUUAGAAAUGACUGCUAAUACCGGAUGAUGUCUUCGGACCAAAGAUUUAUCGGCAAAGGAUGAGCCCGCGUAGGAUUAGGUAGUUGGUGGGGUAAAGGCCUACCAAGCCGACGAUCCUUAGCUGGUCUGAGAGGAUGAUCAGCCACACUGGGACUGAGACACGGCCCAGACUCCUACGGGAGGCAGCAGUGGGGAAUAUUGGACAAUGGGCGAAAGCCUGAUCCAGCAAUGCCGCGUGAGUGAUGAAGGCCUUCGGGUCGUAAAGCUCUUUUACCAGGGAUGAUAAUGACAGUACCUGGAGAAUAAGCUCCGGCUAACUCCGUG
RNAcentral lists this ribosomal RNA (461 nucleotides) under uncultured bacterium. RNAcentral's name for it is "bacterial SSU rRNA". It matches the Rfam family "Bacterial small subunit ribosomal RNA", at positions 1 to 507 of the family's 1533-position model. The record is from RNAcentral.